AGAGUUUGAUCCUGGCUCAGGAUGAACGCUGGCGGCGUGCCUAACACAUGCAAGUCGAGCGAUUCUCUUCGGAGAAGAGCGGCGGACGGGUGAGUAACGCGUGGGUAACCUGCCCUGUACACACGGAUAACAUACCGAAAGGUAUGCUAAUACGAGAUAAUAUGCUUUUAUCGCAUGGUAGAAGUAUCAAAGCUUUUGCGGUACAGGAUGGACCCGCGUCUGAUUAGCUAGUUGGUAAGGUAACGGCUUACCAAGGCGACGAUCAGUAGCCGACCUGAGAGGGUGAUCGGCCACAUUGGAACUGAGACACGGUCCAAACUCCUACGGGAGGCAGCAGUGGGGAAUAUUGCACAAUGGGCGAAAGCCUGAUGCAGCAACGCCGCGUGAGCGAUGAAGGCCUUCGGGUCGUAAAGCUCUGUCCUCAAGGAAGAUAAUGACGGUACUUGAGGAGGAAGCCCCGGCUAACUACGUGCCAGCAGCCGCGGUAAUACGUAGGGGGCUAGCGUUAUCCGGAAUUACUGGGCGUAAAGGGUGCGUAGGUGGUUUCUUAAGUCAGAGGUGAAAGGCUACGGCUCAACCGUAGUAAGCCUUUGAAACUGGGAAACUUGAGUGCAGGAGAGGAGAGUGGAAUUCCUAGUGUAGCGGUGAAAUGCGUAGAUAUUAGGAGGAACACCAGUUGCGAAGGCGGCUCUCUGGACUGUAACUGACACUGAGGCACGAAAGCGUGGGGAGCAAACAAAAGUAGAUACCCUGGUAGUCCACGCCGUAAACGAUGAGUACUAGCUGUUGGAGGUUACCCCCCUUCGGUGGCGCAGCUAACGCAUUAAGUUCUCCCGCCUGGGAAGUUCGCUCGCAUAGUGUGAAACUCAAAGGAAUUGACGGGAACCCGCACAAGUAGCGGAGCAUGUGGUUUAAUUCGAAGCAACGCGAAGAACCUUACCUAAGCUUGACAUCCUUUUGACCGAUGCCUAAUCGCAUCUUUCCCUUCGGGGACAGAAGUGACAGGUGGUGCAUGGUUGUCGUCAGCUCGUGUCGUGAGAUGUUGGGUUAAGUCCCGCAACGAGCGCAACCCUUGCCUUUAGUUGCCAGCAUUAAGUUGGGCACUCUAGAGGGACUGCCAGGGAUAACCUGGAGGAAGGUGGGGAUGACGUCAAAUCAUCAUGCCCCUUAUGCUUAGGGCUACACACGUGCUACAAUGGGUGGUACAGAGGGCAGCCAAGUCGUGCGGCGGAGCUAAUCCCUUAAAGCCAUUCUCAGUUCGGAUUGUAGGCUGAAACUCGCCUACAUGAAGCUGGAGUUACUAGUAAUCGCAGAUCAGAAUGCUGCGGUGAAUGCGUUCCCGGGUCUUGCACUCACCGCCCGUCA
RNAcentral lists this ribosomal RNA (1365 nucleotides) under uncultured bacterium. Its description in RNAcentral is "bacterial SSU rRNA". It matches the Rfam family "Bacterial small subunit ribosomal RNA". The record is from RNAcentral.